Long non-coding RNA from Gasterosteus aculeatus aculeatus (three-spined stickleback), 722 nucleotides. RefSeq lists it as uncharacterized. The record is from RefSeq and is a predicted model, not a curated record. NCBI's taxonomy places the organism in Eukaryota, Metazoa, Chordata, Actinopteri, Perciformes, Gasterosteidae.
CAAGAAACAUAAAAGUGCAAUUUCAUCAAAUAAGCCGAUUAGAACUUGCUAAUAGAUAACAGCCAUAAUAAGUACAACUAAUGUGCAACAAUUUAUUUUUUUACUAUGUCUGAAGAGGUGUGCCUUUAGUUUGCGGCAAAGAAUGUAAAGACUCUGCAAGCCGAGGCUGACAUAAGGACUGACACCCAAAACAGCGCGGGAGUUUCUGCUAGUGUGAAGGUGUUUGUUCACUACCCUCCUCUGGAAAUAAAAGUCUACCUCCACAACAAGUAAAGAUUCAAGACGACAGAGAGGCGACUCUGAAAGAAAAGGUUUGGAUAAAUCCAUCUGAGAGCAAUUACAGUCCACCGGCCAAUUGUCAAAAAAGCAAAGAAGCAUCGAUCAUCAUGGGGAAAGGGGAGAGCGACGAGAAGCACGGGGCCCCGAUUCAGACUCAGCCCCGCAAACACGAGGAGGACAAGAGCCCAUGCGGGUGCUGCUCGAAGAGCACAUACGAGGGCUGGGUGGAGUGUUUGAGCUGUACGCAAAUCUUGUGCGAGGCUCUGGGAAGCAUGAUCCCAGGCUGACCUUGAACAUCUGGACCAGUUUUUCCAGGCUGCAUUGAAUCUCAGCGUCCACCAGCGGCUUUAGUGUGAUUUAUGCCAUUUGGAGAUGAAAAUAUUCACUUUGAUUGUACGUUUGUACUACGUUUGAUCACCUAAUAAACUUGCUUUAUAACUCAA